This 1282-nucleotide ribosomal RNA is filed under the name Staphylococcus pseudintermedius. Its description in RNAcentral is "bacterial SSU rRNA". It matches the Rfam family "Bacterial small subunit ribosomal RNA", at positions 261 to 1533 of the family's 1533-position model. The record is from RNAcentral. Lineage: Bacteria; Bacillati; Bacillota; Bacilli; Caryophanales; Staphylococcaceae.
CGGCCUACCAAGGCGACGAUACGUAGCCGACCUGAGAGGGUGAUCGGCCACACUGGAACUGAGACACGGUCCAGACUCCUACGGGAGGCAGCAGUAGGGAAUCUUCCGCAAUGGGCGAAAGCCUGACGGAGCAACGCCGCGUGAGUGAUGAAGGUCUUCGGAUCGUAAAGCUCUGUUGUUAGGGAAGAACAAAUGUGUAAGUAACUGUGCACAUCUUGACGGUACCUAACCAGAAAGCCACGGCUAACUACGUGCCAGCAGCCGCGGUAAUACGUAGGUGGCAAGCGUUAUCCGGAAUUAUUGGGCGUAAAGCGCGCGUAGGCGGUUUUUUAAGUCUGAUGUGAAAGCCCACGGCUCAACCGUGGAGGGUCAUUGGAAACUGGAAAACUUGAGUGCAGAAGAGGAAAGUGGAAUUCCAUGUGUAGCGGUGAAAUGCGCAGAGAUAUGGAGGAACACCAGUGGCGAAGGCGGCUUUCUGGUCUGCAACUGACGCUGAUGUGCGAAAGCGUGGGGAUCAAACAGGAUUAGAUACCCUGGUAGUCCACGCCGUAAACGAUGAGUGCUAAGUGUUAGGGGGUUUCCGCCCCUUAGUGCUGCAGCUAACGCAUUAAGCACUCCGCCUGGGGAGUACGGUCGCAAGACUGAAACUCAAAGGAAUUGACGGGGACCCGCACAAGCGGUGGAGCAUGUGGUUUAAUUCGAAGCAACGCGAAGAACCUUACCAAAUCUUGACAUCCUUUGACCGCUCUAGAGAUAGAGUUUUCCUCUUCGGAGGACAAAGUGACAGGUGGUGCAUGGUUGUCGUCAGCUCGUGUCGUGAGAUGUUGGGUUAAGUCCCGCAACGAGCGCAACCCUUGAACUUAGUUGCCAUCAUUCAGUUGGGCACUCUAAGUUGACUGCCGGUGACAAACCGGAGGAAGGUGGGGAUGACGUCAAAUCAUCAUGCCCCUUAUGAUUUGGGCUACACACGUGCUACAAUGGACAAUACAAAGGGCAGCGAAACCGCGAGGUCAAGCAAAUCCCAUAAAGUUGUUCUCAGUUCGGAUUGUAGUCUGCAACUCGACUACAUGAAGCUGGAAUCGCUAGUAAUCGUAGAUCAGCAUGCUACGGUGAAUACGUUCCCGGGUCUUGUACACACCGCCCGUCACACCACGAGAGUUUGUAACACCCGAAGCCGGUGGAGUAACCAUUUUGGAGCUAGCCGUCGAAGGUGGGACAAAUGAUUGGGGUGAAGUCGUAACAAGGUAGCCGUAUCGGAAGGUGCGGCUGGAUCACCUCCUUU